AUUGAACGCUGGCGGCAGGCCUAACACAUGCAAGUCGAACGGUAACAGGAAGCAGCUUGCUGCUUUGCUGACGAGUGGCGGACGGGUGAGUAAUGUCUGGGAAACUGCCCGAUGGAGGGGGAUAACUACUGGAAACGGUAGCUAAUACCGCAUAACGUCGCAAGACCAAAGAGGGGGACCUUAGGGCCUCUUGCCAUCGGAUGUGCCCAGAUGGGAUUAGCUAGUAGGUGGGGUAACGGCUCACCUAGGCGACGAUCCCUAGCUGGUCUGAGAGGAUGACCAGCCACACUGGAACUGAGACACGGUCCAGACUCCUACGGGAGGCAGCAGUGGGGAAUAUUGCACAAUGGGCGCAAGCCUGAUGCAGCCAUGCCGCGUGUAUGAAGAAGGCCUUCGGGUUGUAAAGUACUUUCAGCGGGGAGGAAGGGAGUAAAGUUAAUACCUUUGCUCAUUGACGUUACCCGCAGAAGAAGCACCGUCUAACUCCGU
RNAcentral lists this ribosomal RNA (489 nucleotides) under uncultured bacterium. Its description in RNAcentral is "partial 16S ribosomal RNA". It matches the Rfam family "Bacterial small subunit ribosomal RNA", at positions 30 to 506 of the family's 1533-position model. The record is from RNAcentral.